This is a long non-coding RNA of Lacerta agilis (Sand lizard), 378 nucleotides long. RefSeq lists it as uncharacterized. The record is from RefSeq and is a predicted model, not a curated record. The transcript is spliced from 3 exons. NCBI's taxonomy places the organism in Eukaryota, Metazoa, Chordata, Lepidosauria, Squamata, Lacertidae.
UCACCUGAAAUGGAUUUAGCAAUGAAAACUAUCAGGGACUUCAUGAUCAAAGAGAAACCAUCCCUCCAAGGAAGGAGUGAUUCUGAAAUACUUGCUGAAGCUGAGAAGUUAGCAGGUGAAUUGCUUAUAUGGGCUGACAGAGCAAAUGAAGUCCAGUCCGCAAUCAAUGACCUCACUUCAAAUCAUCGUCAAAAGUGGCAGCUAUAUAAAGAAGCGCUCUAUUUAUUUGAUGAAGGACUAGUAUACUGGCACCAGGCAAACAGCUUUUGUCAGAGUAAAAAAUCCAAACUGGUUAUUAUUGAAAAUGACAAAGAGGAGGUAAGCUAGCUGAACACUGUAUAUAUAAAUGGCAGGAAUAAUCCUUUGCAAUUUGAUGGU